Carassius gibelio (silver crucian carp) is the source of this 1273-nucleotide long non-coding RNA. RefSeq lists it as uncharacterized. The transcript has 3 exons. NCBI's taxonomy places the organism in Eukaryota, Metazoa, Chordata, Actinopteri, Cypriniformes, Cyprinidae. The record is from RefSeq and is a predicted model, not a curated record.
GUCCCCAUGAUGGUUGCUAGGGCCGUUGCUAGGUUACCCAGGGUGGUUGCUAGGGUAAUCGGGGUGGUUGCUAGGGUACCCGGGGUGGUUGCUAGGGCGGUUGCUAGGGUCCCCAUGAUGGUUGCUAGGGCCGUUGCUAGGGUACCCAGGGUGGUUGCUAGGGUAAUUGGGGCGGUUGCUAGGGUGUUGCUAUGUGGUUGCUAGGGUACCCAGGGUGGUUGCUAGGGCGGUUGCUAGGGUCCCCAUGAUGGUUGCUAGGGCCGUUGCUAAGGUACCCAGGGUGGUUGCUAGGGUAAUUGGGGCGGUUGCUAGGGUGUUGCUAUGUGGUUGCUAGGGUACCCGGGGUGGUUGCUAGGGCGGUUGCUAGGGUCCCUAUGAUGGUUGCUAGGGCCGUUGCUAGGGUACCCAGGGUGGUUGCUAGGGUAAUCGGGGCGGUUGCUAGGGUGUUGCUAUGCGGUUGCUAGGGUACCCGGGGUGGUUGCUAGGCAGUUGCUAUGGUAACCAGGGUGGUUGUUAUGAUGUUACUUGGUGGUUGGUAGUUGUCACAGAUGGUCACUAUGUAGUUAUUAUAGAGUUCUUAGCCCAUUUGAGCACUUAGCUAAUCACUAUUAGCAUGUAGCUAAUCACUGCUAGCAUGACUAGCAUGUUGGAAGUCCAGUUUGCUAGCACGAGUCAAAAAAUCCAACCGCCAUGUCUGUACAAUGUUCUGAUGCAGAGAUAUAGGUCGUGCAAAACGGUUGCUAGGGUAAUCCGUUUGGUUGCUAUGGAAUGGCUUGGCAGCUGCCAAUGAUGAUACUCCAAAGGCUACUUGCCAAUUUAAACCAACCCCCAUGUCUGUACAAUGUUCUGAUACAGAGAUAUUGGCCUUGAAAAAUGGUUGCUAGGGUACUCUGGUUGGUUGCUAGGGAGUGGCCUUGCAGCUGCCAAUGAUGAUACUUCAAAGUCUGCUUGACAAUAUAAACCAACCCCCAUGCUUCUAUGUCUUUCAGAUGUUAAGAUAUCUAUCUUUGGAUUUAGGUUGCUAGGUAGCUCUUAAUGGUUGCUAGGGCGUGGCUAGGAAGUCUUGAAGGUGAUACGUGAUUGGCCGUUUGCUGCUCGAGUCAAAGGAGCCCACCCUCAUAUUUCUAUGACACUUCUAUCCAAAGUUAUUCAUUUGAUCUUUUUCAAUGGAAGUCUAUGGGGCUUGUUGCUAUGGUGCUCUAUAUGGUUGCUAGGGCGUGGCUUGAUAGCUUCAUAAUGAUCCUGAGAGUCUGAUUGGUUGCUUGAUUCAAAU